This 27-nucleotide non-coding RNA is filed under the name Cricetulus griseus (Chinese hamster). Lineage: Eukaryota; Metazoa; Chordata; Mammalia; Rodentia; Cricetidae. The record is from RNAcentral.
ACACAGCAAGGACUUGUAAAGCACAGA